UGUAUUUGUGUGUGUGAGUGUGUGUGUGUGUAUGUGUAUUAUGUGUGUGAACAGGAGAAAGAGAAAAUUCCAAAGAAUUGUGACGGCUGGCAAGUCCAAAAUCCACAAUAUGGGAAGCUGCAAUUCUUGCAAGAAAUGGAUGUCUUAAUCUAAAGAACACUACAAGAACAAUUGCCUAAAGCAAGAAAGCAAGCUGUUGGAUCUACUGAGAUACCAUAACACUACCAUGCUUUGGCUGCCCUCAGUUCUGUUUUGCUGAUGGACUGGACAUCACACUCAUCCUGGGAAUACUGGCAUCAGUGGUAAAUGGAGCUUGCCUCCCUUUAAUGUCACUGCUUUUAGGAGAAAUAAGUGAUCACCUAACUAGUGGAUGUCUAGUCCAAACCAACACAA
Heterocephalus glaber (naked mole-rat) is the source of this 393-nucleotide long non-coding RNA. The record is from Ensembl. NCBI's taxonomy places the organism in Eukaryota, Metazoa, Chordata, Mammalia, Rodentia, Bathyergidae.